UACAUCCUUGUCUAGUGGGAGCAUAGUAUUCAAUGAGCGUUUAGCGAGGGUACUGAUGCUGACACCAUUUGACAUUAAAUCAAUCCGCAUCAUCGAGACAGAAUUAUAUCUCGUAUGGAUGCAAUUUUUGGGGAA
Molecule: small nuclear RNA, 135 nt
Organism: Phymastichus coffea
Lineage: Eukaryota; Metazoa; Arthropoda; Insecta; Hymenoptera; Eulophidae
Product: U4atac minor spliceosomal RNA
Exons: 1
Source: RefSeq, a predicted model, not a curated record